This 399-nucleotide ribosomal RNA is filed under the name Triticum aestivum (bread wheat). RNAcentral describes it as "partial small subunit ribosomal RNA". Lineage: Eukaryota; Viridiplantae; Streptophyta; Magnoliopsida; Poales; Poaceae. The record is from RNAcentral.
GUUGGUUAUUAUGAACUUGUGCAUGUGUGUGCUGCAGGCUGCCUGACGUGCUUCUGCCCCUGCGUCGCCUUCGGGCGGAUCGCCCACACCGUCGACAGGGGAACCUCAUCUUGCUGCCUGCGCGGGACGGCGUACAUGCUGCUGGCGUGGGUGGGGCUGGGCUGCCUCUGCUCCUGCUGCUACAGCUCCAGGAUGCGGGAGCAGUACGGGCUCAAGGAGAAGCCCUGCGCCGACUGCUGCGUCCACCUCUUCUGCGACCCCUGCGCCCUCUGCCAGGAGUACCGCGAGCUCAAGAGCCGCGGCUUCGACAUGAGCCUCGGGUGGCAUGCCAACGUUGAGAGGAUGGGGAAGAGCGCUCCGACCGCUGCGCCUCAGGCUUACCCGGGGAUGACUCGCUAG